RNAcentral lists this ribosomal RNA (422 nucleotides) under uncultured bacterium. RNAcentral describes it as "bacterial SSU rRNA". It matches the Rfam family "Bacterial small subunit ribosomal RNA", at positions 56 to 527 of the family's 1533-position model. The record is from RNAcentral.
UGCAAGUCGACGCCCCUUCGGGGGAGUGGCAGACGGGUGAGUAACGCGUGGGAACCUACCUUUCGGUACGGAACAACAGUUGGAAACGACUGCUAAUACCGUAUACGUCCUUCGGGAGAAAGAUUUAUCGCCGAUAGAGGGGCCCGCGUUGGAUUAGCUUGUUGGUGAGGUAAUGGCUCACCAAGGCGACGAUCCAUAGCUGGUCUGAGAGGAUGAUCAGCCACACUGGGACUUAGACACGGCCCAGACUCCUACGGGAGGCAGCAGUGGGGAAUAUUGGACAAUGGGCGAAAGCCUGAUCCAGCCAUGCCGCGUGAGUGAUGACGGCCUUAGGGUUGUAAAGCUCUUUCAGUGGUGAAGAUAAUGACGGUAACCACAGAAGAAGCCCCGGCUAACUCCGUGCCAGCAGCCGCGGUAAUACG